CCCCUCUCAGGGUAGCACCUGGAGAGUUUCCAAUACUCUACCAGACUCAACUAAGUGAGGGAGAGUCAAGCAGAGGUAUACCCAUUCCAUUCCUAACUUGGCCAGUGACUAGUUAGUGGAAGGCAAUCUGCUACUAGU
Tachyglossus aculeatus (Australian echidna) is the source of this 138-nucleotide small nucleolar RNA. The record is from RefSeq and is a predicted model, not a curated record. NCBI's taxonomy places the organism in Eukaryota, Metazoa, Chordata, Mammalia, Monotremata, Tachyglossidae.